Molecule: transfer RNA, 77 nt
Filed under: Vibrio parahaemolyticus
Lineage: Bacteria; Pseudomonadati; Pseudomonadota; Gammaproteobacteria; Vibrionales; Vibrionaceae
Description: tRNA-Arg
Rfam family: tRNA
About the family: Transfer RNA (tRNA) molecules are approximately 80 nucleotides in length. Their secondary structure includes four short double-helical elements and three loops (D, anti-codon, and T loops). Further hydrogen bonds mediate the characteristic L-shaped molecular structure. tRNAs have two regions of fundamental functional importance: the anti-codon, which is responsible for specific mRNA codon recognition, and the 3' end, to which the tRNAs corresponding amino acid is attached (by aminoacyl-tRNA synthetases). tRNAs cope with the degeneracy of the genetic code in two manners: having more than one tRNA (with a specific anti-codon) for a particular amino acid; and 'wobble' base-pairing, i.e. permitting non-standard base-pairing at the 3rd anti-codon position.
Source: RNAcentral
GCCCCUAUAGCUCAGUUGGAUAGAGCACGUCACUUCUAAUGAUGCGGUCGGGAGUUCGAAUCUCUCUGGGGGUGCCA